GUUCUACCUUGACGAAUUGUAGUUUAAAGAAGUGUUUUCUGUUGGAGUUUUGGUAAAAGUUCUUUGGAAUAGGACAUCAUAGAGGGUGAGAAUCCCGUAUUUGACCAUUAUUUCCAACUUUGUGAUACACUUUCAAAGAGUCGGAUUGUUUGGGAAUGCAGUCCAAAAUGGGUGGUAAAUUUCAUCUAAAGCUAAAUACUGGCGAGAGACCGAUAGCGAACAAGUACCGUGAGGGAAAGAUGAAAAGAACUUUGAAAAGAGAGUUAAACAGUACGUGAAAUUGUCAAAAGGGAAGCGUUUGACACCAGUGUUGUUUUCUCGAAAAUCAAUUAAAAAUGGUGGGAUGUUGUGUUGUAUUGACUUUAUCAGCUUUCUGCACUUUUUUCCUAUCUUUUUU
This 397-nucleotide ribosomal RNA is filed under the name uncultured Neocallimastigomycetes. Its description in RNAcentral is "eukaryotic LSU rRNA". It matches the Rfam family "Eukaryotic large subunit ribosomal RNA", at positions 127 to 520 of the family's 3401-position model. The record is from RNAcentral. Lineage: Eukaryota; Fungi; Neocallimastigomycota; Neocallimastigomycetes.